RNAcentral lists this long non-coding RNA (249 nucleotides) under Salvia miltiorrhiza (redroot sage). RNAcentral's name for it is "long non-coding RNA (SMIL_LNC002007)". Lineage: Eukaryota; Viridiplantae; Streptophyta; Magnoliopsida; Lamiales; Lamiaceae. The record is from RNAcentral.
CUCGAUUUGCAGAAGGAGAUGAACUAGGGCUCGGGCUCCAUCGACGCUUCGAAUCGAGAGAGAAGGGACCGACUCUCGUCGGGUUACAGCAGCAGCGACGUCGCGGAGGGAGGCAGCGGCCGCUCGCCGGCGACGGCUGGAACGGCAGCUUUUAGGCGCGACGGCAGCUACACAGGGAGCAGCAACAGAUCGAUUGAGAGGGGGGGAGGAUUCUGGAACGGGCGAGCAGCAACAGAGCGCGGAGCCACG